Non-coding RNA from Ciona intestinalis (vase tunicate), 513 nucleotides. NCBI's taxonomy places the organism in Eukaryota, Metazoa, Chordata, Ascidiacea, Phlebobranchia, Cionidae. The record is from RefSeq and is a predicted model, not a curated record.
CAUAGAUACAAAAUGGUAGGGAUUAAUAACCGUAACACCAUUUUCUAAUUUUAGGGUUAUUGAGUGACUGCCCGACAAAAGAUUUUAACGACAUUUUGGACGUAUAUGAAGAGGAUGUGUCGUCAAGAGGAUGUGCCCUUGCCGAAAUGCCGAUUUGGCAUAACAAGUGGAAGGGGAAAGAUGCUAGCAUUGUACCUAGUACUUUUCCCGACAUCAUGCGUGCUGUAGCAGACACGAUGUUGCCGAAUGUAAAAAUUUUAUUACAAGUAUAUUUUGGACACUUCCGGUGACCACAGCAUCGGCAGAACGAAGUUUUUCGCAGUUAUGAAGGUUGAAGACUUAUCUUCGUAACACGACAAAAGAAGAACACCUAACUUCGCUUGCGUUAAUGAAUGCGCAUAGAGACGUACCCCUUCCCACAGAUGAAAUCGUGAGGAUUUUUGCAGAAACGAAAUCCCGCAAACUUGAUAUUCUAUUGUAAUUUAUUUAUACAUGCAUUUUGUUUGUUUUAAU